GUACACAGUAGAGUCUGACAGACAGAGAGAGACAGAGGUGUCAUUGUACACAGUAGAGUGACAGACAGAGAGAAACAGAGGUGUCAGUGUACACAGUAGAGUCUGACAGACAGAGAGAGACAGAGGUGUCAGUGUACACAGUAGAUACACGCGUGAAGUUAAAACAUCAACUCAUAAAGCCGGGAUUCAAUCAAAGGAGUCGUUAUCGACUACAAAACAAGGCUUUUCAUUUAAAAAGGUCAUUUCCACUUGAGCCGAUAUGUGCAGCGUUUCUGUCUGUGUACAAUAACGCGUCUCUGAUUGAAUAUCCGCCUUUUAAAUGAACAAAAGGCGACACACACACACACACACACACACACACACACACACACACACACACACACACACACACACAC
Molecule: long non-coding RNA, 395 nt
Organism: Oncorhynchus tshawytscha (Chinook salmon)
Lineage: Eukaryota; Metazoa; Chordata; Actinopteri; Salmoniformes; Salmonidae
Exons: 3
Source: RefSeq, a predicted model, not a curated record